Molecule: ribosomal RNA, 514 nt
Filed under: uncultured bacterium
Lineage: Bacteria
Description: bacterial SSU rRNA
Rfam family: Bacterial small subunit ribosomal RNA
Source: RNAcentral
AGAGUUUGAUCAUGGCUCAGAGUGAACGCUGGCGGCAGGCCUAAUACAUGCAAAGUCGAAACGGGCAAGGCACAGCAGAGCUUGCUCUGUGGGUGGCGAGUGGCGGACGGGUGAGGAAUACGUGGGAAUCUGCCCAGUCGUGGGGGAUAACGUAGGGAAACUUACGCUAAUACCGCAUGCGCCCUUCGGGGGAAAGCCGGGGACCUUCGGGCCUGGCGCGAUUGGAUGAGCCCACGUCGGAUUAGCUAGUUGGCGGGUAAAGGCCCACCAAGGCGACGAUCCGUAGCUGGUCUGAGAGGAUGAUCAGCCACACUGGAACUGAGACACGGUCCAGACUCCUACGGGAGGCAGCAGUAGGGAAUAUUGGACAAUGGGCGCAAGCCUGAUCCAGCCAUGCCGCGUGAGUGAAGAAGGCCCUCGGGUUGUAAAGCUCUUUUGUCCGGAAAGAAAAGCGCCGGGUUAAUACCCUGGUGUCCUGACGGUACCGGAAGAAUAAGCACCGGCUAACUUCGUG